Heterocephalus glaber (naked mole-rat) is the source of this 1586-nucleotide long non-coding RNA. NCBI's taxonomy places the organism in Eukaryota, Metazoa, Chordata, Mammalia, Rodentia, Bathyergidae. The record is from Ensembl.
UGAGAUCCCAGGUUAUGUAUUCUUUUGGAGGGGGGGUGAAGAAGAUGAAUAAAAGUUCAUCAGACCUGAAGAGACAACCUAGACUAGCAGUGAGCCGUGGUGGAAAGACGCCAGAGGUCAGAUGUUGGGAAGGGCCUCAAAGUGCUCAGCAGAGUUUGGGAGAGAAGCUCAGACCUCCCCUUAUUGGACACCAAAUGUAAGGUCAGACCGAGGCACGAUUGAGACCACCGAGCAAGGUCCGUUAUGGUUUCUAUGUGAAGGGCCCCCCGAACAUGCAGGCAUUGAGGGCUCGCUCCCCAGUGCAGCCAUCUUCAGCAGUGGGCCCCAGGGAGGUGACUGGAUCAUGAGGGGCUGACCUCGCCAGUGGACUGAUCCACAGAAGAGGUUGUUUUUUUUCAGAUAAGAGGAAGAAAUGAAAUAAGCAAGCCCAGUUGAUUCUUCCCAAAUUUACCCAUCUGAUAAGCAGCCCCAUCAAUAUGCCAGGGGUGAAGUAAAUAGAGAGAUCUGGGGGUGCUACCAGGGGAACCCCCAGCUCCCAGGAGUGAAGAUGCUGCUGCUUGCUUAAAGAGGAUUCACAUGACUCUGAUGAAGUGGGCAGCCCGCAGUGAAGACCAGCAGGCAGGAGGGACCCUGGGACUGGCUGCUUCUCCUGCCUCUUUGCUGUGAAAGGACACUUACUGGGAGGGAUGCAGGUGGCCAGCUAAGCACCUCUGCAGUGCUGAGGCUCCACAUGGGAGAUAGGAAUGCUAAGAAUAUUAGCCUGGGCUGUCGGCAAUUACUGGGCUGGGAACUAACUGCCACUGCAGCUUGGAUAUUAAAGAAAUAAUGUCUCCUUUUGUUCUUCAAGAUGGCAAAAUACGGUUUAGGUUUAUAGAUGUGUACCUUGGAAUCACUUUACUCACUCACUCUUUGGAUUACACACCUUUUUUGUGUUUUUGAUACAAGUGCUAAGUUGCAAAUUGUCCAGGUUGGCAUUGAACAUGGGAUAUUCCUGCCCCAGCCUCCUGAGUAUUCCUGGGAUUCCAGGUCUGCACCACCACAACAGGCUUAGCAUAUGAAGUGUUGUACUCUUUUUUUUAAAGGUUCUUGCCACUUUCUUUUUUUACAAUUAAAUUUAUUGGUACAUUUUAGGUAUAUAUAGUGAUCACAUCCAUCAUAGGGAAUUUGUGCCUGUACUAGUAUAUCUUGAUUCUUCAUUUUCUCCACUCCCUUCCCUGAAGCCACCUUCACUUCCUUAUUUACAAAAGCUUUGUUCCCAUUAUUUCCAUCUAUUUUCUUUUCCCUUCCUUCCUUUCCCCCUCACCCCUCCCUUUUUCCCCUUCCCAUUUGAACAUUUUCUUCCUAUUUCACAAUAUCUAUUUUAUAUUUUGGUCCUUAUUUACACUUUCAGUUUCUCACACCAGAGAAACAAUGUGAUAUUUAAACACAUGGGUCCGAUUUAUUUCACUUAAGAGUAUGGUCUCAAGGUGCAUCCAUUUAGGUAUAAAUGUCUAAAGUUUACCUUUCUUUAUGGCUGAAUAGUACUGCAUUGUAUAAUGGGGAAAAAAUAGGAAUCAAGAUACAUCAUGUACAGGUACAAACACCCA